Molecule: ribosomal RNA, 478 nt
Filed under: uncultured bacterium
Lineage: Bacteria
Description: partial 16S ribosomal RNA
Rfam family: Bacterial small subunit ribosomal RNA
Source: RNAcentral
GACGAACGCUGGCGGCGUGCUUAACACAUGCAAGUCGAACGGUAAGGCCCUUCGGGGUACACGAGUGGCGAACGGGUGAGUAACACGUGGGUGAUCUGCCCUGCACUUCGGGAUAAGCCUGGGAAACUGGGUCUAAUACCGGAUAGGACUCCGGACUGCAUGGUCUGGGGUGGAAAGCUUUUGCGGUGUGGGAUGGGCCCGCGGCCUAUCAGCUUGUUGGUGGGGUGAUGGCCUACCAAGGCGACGACGGGUAGCCGGCCUGAGCGGGUGACCGGCCACACUGGGACUGAGAUACGGCCCAGACUCCUACGGGAGGCAGCAGUGGGGAAUAUUGCGCAAUGGGCGCAAGCCUGAUGCAGCGACGCCGCGUGAGGGAUGACGGCCUUCGGGUUGUAAACCUCUUUCAGCAUCGACGAAGCGAAAGUGACGGUAGGUGCAGAAGAAGGACCGGCCAACUACGUGCCAGCCGCCGCUGUAA